AUUGAACGCUGGCGGCAGGCUUAACACAUGCAAGUCGAGCGGGGGAAGGUAGCUUGCUACCGGACCUAGCGGCGGACGGGUGAGUAAUGCUUAGAAAUCUGCCUAUUAGUGGGGGACAACAUCUCGAAAGGGAUGCUAAUACCGCAUACGUCCUACGGGAGAAAGCAGGGGAUCUUCGGACCUUGCGCUAAUAGAUGAGCCUAGGUCGGAUUAGCUAGUUGGUGGGGUAAAGGCCUACCAAGGCGACGAUCUGUAGCGGGUCUGAGAGGAUGAUCCGCCACACGGGGACUGAAACACGGCCCAGACUCCUACGGGAGGCAGCAGUGGGGAAUAUUGGACAAUGGGGGGAACCCUGAUCCGGCCAUGCCGCGUGUGUGAAGAAGGCCUUAUGGUUGUAAAGCACUUUAAGCGAGGAGGAGGCUACUUUAGUUAAUACCUAGAGAUAGUGGACGUUACUCGCAGAAUAAGCACCGGCUAACUCUGUGCCAGCCGCCGCGGUAA
Molecule: ribosomal RNA, 501 nt
Filed under: uncultured bacterium
Lineage: Bacteria
Description: partial 16S ribosomal RNA
Rfam family: Bacterial small subunit ribosomal RNA
Source: RNAcentral